GGCCUAAAUUUGAAGUAGGGUAGAUUAGAAGGACCAUCUGGUUCUAUUAAACUACUCUACUUCGAUUUGUGCCC
This 74-nucleotide microRNA precursor is filed under the name Haemonchus placei. RNAcentral describes it as "mir-5928 microRNA precursor family". It matches the Rfam family "mir-5928 microRNA precursor family". Lineage: Eukaryota; Metazoa; Nematoda; Chromadorea; Rhabditida; Trichostrongylidae. The record is from Rfam by way of RNAcentral.